GCCUCUAUAGCUCAGUGGUAGAUCACUGGUCUCGUAAACCAGGGUUCGUGAGUUCAAUCCUCACCGGAGGCA
Molecule: non-coding RNA, 72 nt
Organism: Ciona savignyi (Pacific transparent sea squirt)
Lineage: Eukaryota; Metazoa; Chordata; Ascidiacea; Phlebobranchia; Cionidae
Source: Rfam